UGGGUUUUACAAUUUACACUUUCUAAUUUAUAAAACCAGGAGUAAAUCACAUAUAUCAGAGGUUUAGGUAGCUUCCUGCCCACGUGAAAACACAAGAACGACAGGUUAAAUUUGACCACAUGUUAUCCUAUUGAAAUAUGACAUGUGUUGUUGGACACAUGCCAAGCACAUUAUCACAUGAACAAUGAAUCAGCAGAAGGAAUUUUUAGUUAGAUAUUAAUCACAAAGGUAUCUACGAGAGCCAGGGGAGAUGGGUCUCUGAAACUCUUCUGUAAUUAGAGGGGUGAACUACGGAGAGGAUACAGUUUCCGGAAUAUCAUGAUCUCUGCCAAGUUCCUCAGGUCUGUACAUACGUUUCAUCAUGCAAUGCUGAGCCUCAGAAAACAGAAAACUGCUGCUCUUCCCUCCUCUUCUCUGCUCCUUUGUCUCUGUUUUGCUGCUGUUGAAUCUUAGAACCUGCUAUCUUGCCCAUGUUUUACAAUUUACUCUUUCUAAUUUAUAAAGCCAGGAGUAAAUCACAUACAUCAGAUAUUUUUUUCUUGCCCCAAGUUCAUUUUAAGGAACACCCCAUUUAACAAGCUUGAAGAAAAAUAAUAACAAAUAAUAGAAUAAUGAAAAUAAUUGUAGGGCCUAAGAUCAAAUCAAUUGCUUAAACUGAAUAACAAUUUAUUUUAAUCAUGUCAAAUUUUCAUGUUGGAAAAUAAUUUUUAAUAUUAAAAAUAAGUAGAGUUUAUUUUUUAUUUGACUUUAAAUAUACCAAUUAACCGUGUUUUAAAUAAUUUUGUCAUCAAAUAGAUUUAAUAUUACAUAAUUAAAUUUAGUUAAUCAAGUAAUUUAACAUAAAGAUAAAUUUAACAUAAAACUUUCUUCUUCUUUUCUUGGCAAGCCGUUGAUAUUGUCUUUUGUUUUCAUUUUAUUGGCCCACACGGUGUCUCUUAUAAUCCAUGGUUGCCUGGGCAUGCAUUUCUUCAAUCAUAGAAUAUACCAUCAGAUUAAAAAUAAAAUUAACUGAUCAUGUUAUCGGGUUUCUUAAUAAUGUUUACCCUUUCUCAUUUCCUUAUUAUUUCUUAAUAAUCCAUUGAUAUAGUAAAUACGCAAAUAACUGUUGGCACUGUCCAUCUAAGGGUAUCAUGAGUAAAUUGAAAACCAGGAACGGAAUAUUAAUGUUUAUGGAUCAAUGAAGUGAAAUUAUCUCCUGAAGCUCAAAACUAAUGAUUUUAUUUGUUCUUGUUUUUUAAGCCAUUGAUAGUGUUUUGGCAUACUCUGUCUAUAUACGUCAUCUCUGCCCUAAAUUUCUCCAUUCUAACAAGUCCAUGUUUUAAUCACUGCAUUUUCUUCCUUCUUCCUUCUUCCUUCUUCCUUCUUUUUAUAUAUAUAUGGAAACUGUCUUAUAUGCAUGUAGAUAUCUUAUUGGUUGGGUUUUACAAUUUACACUUUCUAAUUAAUUAAUUUAUAAAACCAGGAUAUAUAUAUAUAUAUAUAUACAUACUCCUGGUUUUAUAAAUUAUUUUUAGGCAACCUGUCCAAUGAGAAAAGAAACGUGAAGAAUUUCGCGAGUGGUCUAAUUGUUCCAGGCGACCUGCCCAAUAAUUGAAAAAUACGAGAUUUUUUUUUUUUAUGAUGGUAUAUUGUAAUGGGUUACCGGCCUAGAUGGUCACAUUGUAAUGGGUUACCUGCCCAGUAUAGGAUGGUAAGUUGUAAUGGGUUACUGGCCCAGAUGGUCAUAUUGUAAUGGGUUACCUGCCCAAUAUAGGAUGGUAUGUUGUAAUGGGUUACCGACCUAGAUGAUCUCAUUGUAAUGGGUUACCUACCCAGUUGGUCACAUUGUAAUGGGUUACCUGCCCAGAUGGUCACAUUGUAAUGGGUUACCGGCCCAGAUGGUCACAUUGUAAUGGGUUACCUGCCUAGUGGAAAAAUACAAGGAUUUUUCAGGAUGGUACAUUGUGAUGGGUUACCAGCCCAGAUGGUCACAUUGUAAUGGGUUACCUGCCCAGUUGGUUACAUUGUAAUGGGUUACCGGCCCAGUUGAAAAAUACGAGGAUUUUUUUUUUAUGAUGAUAGGGCUCCAAGGAAAUGAGGUGAGGGCUCGAAGGCGCACUCGAAAGGAGGUAGGAUAGGAAAUGCACUACCAUUGAUGGUCGAGGGCUUGAAGGCGCGCUCGAAAAGAAAUAAGACGAGGGCUCGAAGGCGCGCUCAA
Molecule: long non-coding RNA, 2197 nt
Filed under: Populus tremula
Lineage: Eukaryota; Viridiplantae; Streptophyta; Magnoliopsida; Malpighiales; Salicaceae
Description: long non-coding RNA (PTRE_LNC002963)
Source: RNAcentral